Homo sapiens (human) is the source of this 1220-nucleotide long non-coding RNA. The record is from Ensembl. NCBI's taxonomy places the organism in Eukaryota, Metazoa, Chordata, Mammalia, Primates, Hominidae.
AGCCCUGAUUCAAUGCGCAAGGGAACUAAGAAGGACAUGAAUACGAGGAGGCAGGAACCAUCACAGGCUGUCUUGCAGACUGGUUACCACACACAGAAAUUGGGACUUGAAUCCAGGCCUCUCUGAUGUCAAAGUCCUUGUACUUCACUGUGCUGCCCUCCCCAAGCAGCCUCUUGAAUCUGUGGAUCCCUCUAAGUGUAAUGUCACCUUCAGCCUGCAACAGUACAGAAUGGAUAAAGUAGUGAUAUUAAACAUGCUGUAAGAGAAGAAGAGAAGCCUAGGCUCCUUGAGCAUGAUUAUAAAAUGGGGACCAGUGAGGAGAGGAUAGCCUCAAGAAGAAGAAUUGAGAGGGGCUUGGUUAACUAUCCCUAACUGGACAUUCUGCUUUUUGCUGUUCCUGGCAUCAGCUAUCAGAAAGUCUCUGUGGGGUCUUGCUGUUGCCCUGGCUGCAGUGCAGUGGCAUGAACACAGCUCACUGAAGCCUUGAACUCUCAGACUCAAUGGAUCCUUUCACCUCAGUCCCCCAAGUAGCUGGGACCACAGCAGUCUGGCCUUCCAGCUGGCCUCCAGAUGCAAAGGCAGAGUCUGAUGGAGACUUGGUGUCCUGAGAACUCCAGAAUGGGCUGUCAGUGCUCUAAUUUUUCAGCAAUCAGCCAUGACUGCCUUUGCACUGUCCAUGCUCUCAGCCCACCACCUCCUCCCCCUGCCAUUGCAGUGGCUAACACUGGAGACGAAGACCAAGACACCACCGCCUUUCUCCAGUACCACUCAAAUCAGCACAGGCAAGGACAAAGGCCUCAAUCCACAACUGCUGAAGAUGGACCCUGGCCACAUGGGAUGGUCAGACACGCCUGCCCAGCUAUCUGCAGGCGAAGAGGCUCAGAAGAGGUUUAGGGGCCUGAAGGACAUCUUGCUUCCAUGUCCAUAUGAGCAGGCUAUUUCUGCUCCAUGAGUCAAUUUUGCCAUAUAAAAUACUUAAUUUCAGCCAUUCCAGGGUGCUGUAGGAUGCACAGCUUCCCAUCAGCCCACCUGAACUCCAGCCAUGCCAUUUUAAUACCAGGAAUAAGGUCACCUGCUUUCCUGCCCCUUAGGAGGCCAGAGCCGUGGAAGCAAAAUGGCACUUCUGUUUACCUGUUAUAUUAUUUUUUUGUCAUCCUUAUAUGCUUGGAAAAUGCAAUUAUAUGAAAAAAGUUUAGUAAUUACAGACAUAACAGCAGAAA